This 6590-nucleotide long non-coding RNA is filed under the name Homo sapiens (human). RNAcentral's name for it is "long non-coding RNA NONHSAT216628.1". Lineage: Eukaryota; Metazoa; Chordata; Mammalia; Primates; Hominidae. The record is from RNAcentral.
CUGGGGUCCCCUUCCACACUGUGGAAGCUUUGUUCUUUUGUUCUUUGCAAUAAAUCUUGCUAUUGCUCACUCUUUGGGUCCACACUGCUUUUAUGAGCUGUCACACUCACAGGGAAGGUCUGCAGCUUCACUCCUGAAGCCAGCGAGACCACGAGCCCACCAGGAGGAACGAACAACUCCAGACGCGCCGCCUUAAGAGCUGUAACACUCACCGUGAAGGUCUGCAGCUUCACUCCUGAGCCAGCGAGACCACCAAACCCACCAGAAUGAAGAAACUCCGAACACAUCCGAACAUCAGAAGGGACAGACUCCAGAUGCGCCACCUUAAGAGCUGUAACACUCACUGCGAGGGUCCGCGGCUUCAUUCUUGAAGUCAGACCAAGAACCCACCAAUUCCGGACACGGAAGGACUUUAAUAUUAAAGAGUGCUAUGGUUAAAAUCAGUUCAAUUAAAAGUGGAUAUUCAAGCUCUAACAGCCUGGACUCCCUGGGAAAAACAGGAGGCACCAGAGAACCCUUUGCUGGCCCUGUUCUUCCAAGCGCUCCACCCUAAAGCUGGUAAUCCAAUUAAAAAACUUAAAAACUGGCAAAUGAAAAAUCUUACAACCCCUGUGGUGAUCUGCUUCUGUCUUUCUGUGUAGCUACAUAUGUGUUGUGUGUAACGUUUAUAUUUUUAAAAACUAAUUAAUUGGCUUAAACAAAAAUAAGCACUUACAUCAAAUAUUUUGAAACCAAAAUGAAAACCGUAAUGUCUUUUAGUUCAUGUAACUUUAGAAAUCUUUGGGAAAUAAAAACAGCUUUAAUAAUUGUUGAUAAAACCAUUUAGUCUAAAGUAUGCAGGUCAGAUAUUAAGUUGGCUAAAUGCUUUGAGGUUGUAAACUGCUUCUUUAACUUUUAAAAUUUGUUCAAUUUAUGUACCUUAAAGCCAUUAGAUUCUAGAUAAGGCCUGGGGGGACAUGUAGAAUUAGCCAUGCCCCCUAGCUGUACAAAGAUUAUAAAGAAAGGUUAUAUGAGAAAGCAUCUUGUAUGGUAAAUUCUUGUCCUAAAGUAAAAUAACUGGUUGUUUAAAAGGAGGGAUGUUUACGGCAAGUCAGAAAGUCGAAAAAUGCCUCAUGUGGUCUGUGUAAGUCGUGAAAGGAUUUGUGAAAGGGAAUUUGUGCGAGAAAUGUUCUACAAUUCAAAGGUGGUUGGGCUUCUUAAAUGCUUCGUAAAAUGCCACCAUGACGCUUACCAUACAAUUUGCCUGCUUCAGUAAGAUAGGGCCUGGGGACAUGUGGAGUUAGUCACGUCCCUAGCUAUGCUGGAGAGUCAGCCCUUAUCUGUACUUCUGCCUGGUAUGUCCUAGGCUAGGCUUCACAUCUAGUAGACAAUUAAAAUUGCUCACUAACCAGCGUUUUCACCAAAAGUAAGCGUCGCUAAAAGUUAACAUUGUAACACGUAAUUGAGACUAUUGAAAAAAACAGCUUUACAUGUAAGGUGUGUAAGGAAAGUAGAAUGUACUUUUGGUACAAGGUUAUAAGAAGGCAUGGGAAUGUGAAUUUUUUUGCUUAAAGGGAUAAAGAAUUGUUGUAAGUUAGUAGAAUAAAGGUAAAGGUUUGAACAGUUGUGGAAAGUUUGUAAAAACUUAAUUGUAAAAGAGAUUCUGUGUGUGUGCACUGGCUAAAUUAAAGGGAUAUUAUUCCAUUUUUAUAUAAAUUAAACAUUGAAAUAAAAGCACAACAGGUUUUUCUUAGAGCAAAAAAACUGCUUAUAAUCUGCUCUUUAACAAAAACUUGUAAAGGGUUAUAAAAGGUUUAUGAGAAUCUUACCUUAUGGUCAAACUGAUUAAGAUUGGACAUAUUUUUAUAAAUAAAACCUUAUUUAUAAGGUUUUAUUAAGAAUUGGGUUUGGCAUCAAUAGUGCACUAAUGCAACAGUGACAUUUGGCUUAUUUUGGUACAAAAAUCCUACAGGAAGCCCUGUCCUGUAUGGUUUUAUCUGGGCAGUAUUUGUAUAAAUGUGUUAUUGGUAUAUAUUCCAAAAUUAUGGGCAACUCCUAUAAUCCAGAUAUGACACUGUACAUUAGCAGUAAUAAUUAUAAUCGUUACCUAAAAUCAUUGUAUACCAUAGUGGUAACAAAUUUCCUUGUCAAUUGUUUAUUUGACUGUGGCUGCCCUAAAACAUUUUGUCGGCCACAGACAAUUGUUACCUUGUUUUAGUCCUCUUUAAAAGGUGGUUUAAAAUCAAUUAUAGAACUCUAACAGGCUUUUUUGUUGUUGUUGUUGUUUGUUUGUUUGUUUUUCUGAGACAGAAUCUUACUCUGUUGCCUAGGCUGGAGUACAGUGGCGUGAUCUCAGCUCACUGCAACCUCCGCCUCCCAGGUUCAAGCAAUUCUCCUGCCUCAGCCUCCUGAGUAUCUGGGAUUAGAGGCAUGCACCACCAUGCCUCACUAAUUUUUUUUUUGUAUUUUUUGUACAGGUAGAGUUUCACCAUGUUGGACAGUCUGGUCUUGAACUCUUGACCUCAAGUGAUCCCCCUGCCUCGGCCUCCCAGAGUGCUGGGAUUACAGGUGUGAGCCACCAUGCCUGGCCUAACAGGCAUUCUUAAAUGUAGGUUUUCUAAUAACUUUGGAAAUUGUAACAUCAGAAUAGAGGAAAAACUUGCAGGACUCUCAUGGAGAGCUAAAAUGUUCAUAAAUAUCAAGCAAAACAGGAGUUAACUAAAUUCACUAAACCAAUAAAAAAACGGAAGUAAUCUUUUAAACUUUGCUUAAAACAUUGCUGAUCCUUUGUUUUGUUUUUCAAAGUCAAGGAAACUUUUCUUUUGAGCUGUUUACAGCUUUUAACAGUUAAGUAUGUAUCCACCUAUAAACAAAAUGUGGAGCAUAUUUGUUUCUCUCUACCUAAUUUCUCCAGAAUUUGUAAACUAGUUGUGAGUAUUCUUAACUUAUGGCAAUAUAGUUAUUUGCAUAACUAUAUUUGCAAUAAGAAACUGUUUUCUUUUGUAACAGGACACAAUGGGAGAAAUUGGUGAUUUUUGUCAAGGCUUUGCCUGGAAUAGUGUGUUUUCCUUUAGGGAAUUAAACUUGACUUAUAGAGCCAAUAAAAUCUCUUUAGGGAACUGACCUUAUACCUUUCCAAAACAGUCCCUGUGCAGGGUUUCUAACCUGUGGUGAGUAAAGAAUGUCACUUUCUGACAGGUCCAGGAGCCCCAGGUUAUCUUGGGACAUCAAGAGGAAAAAAAAUUUACCUAACUCAUAGAUAUACAAAGGUACAAACCCAUGGCUGGGCUCAGCUUUAAAAAAGUCUUAUCUGAGAUUCCUUAUGAAACAGAGUUCCAUCAAAGCCAAUUUAAAAACAGCUUAUGUGAAAAAUAAUUAUUCUUGCUGCACUUUAUACAAAUAAUCAGGCCAAAUAUAAUAAAGCAAAUCAGUCUUACCAUAAUUUGUCUUUAGUAAAAAUGGAAAACUGGAGAGAGAAAUAUUAUGUUUCAAGAACUAUGGUGCACUUGUUGUUAAAUUCUAGUCUUAUCUGUUGUUUUUAAGUUUGUUUCUGCAAUUUAGGCUAACCCUGCUUAUUCCUGUGAAUCAACCAGUGAUCUCUGACUGUUGCUCAGAAGAAACAAGAGGUAUUGGGGAACCUGCCCCAAUAUUCACGUAGGUUCUUUUCUAUUUUCCCUAAGCAUCAGCCGGCUUGAGAAAUAAAGGGACAGAGUACAAAAGAGAGAAAUUUUAAAGCUGGGCGUCCGGGGGAGACAUCACAUAUCGGUAGGUUCCGUGAUGCCCCACAAGCCGCAAAAACCAGCAAGUUUUUAUUAGGGAUUUUCAAAAGGGGAGGGAGUGCGCGAAUAGGUGUGGGUCACAGACAUCAAGUACUUUACACAGUAAUAGAAUAUCACAAGGCAAAUGGAGGCAGGGCGAGAUCACAGGACCACAGGACCGAGGCAAAAUUAAAAUUGCUAAUGAAGUUUCAGGCACCACUGUCAUUGAUAACAUCUUAUCAGGAGACAGGGUUUUGAGAGCAACCGGUCUGACCAAAAUUAUUAGGUGGGAAUUUCCUCUUCCAAAUAAGCCUGGGAGUGCUAUGGGAGACUGGAGUCUAUUUCAUCUCUGCAGUUUCAACCAUAAGAGACAGGCACACCUGGGGGUGGGGGGGGGCGCCGUUCAUAGGCCUAUACCUCCAGGUGCAUAUUCUUUUUCUCAGGGAUGUUCCUUGCUGAGAAAAAGAAUUCAGUGAUAUUCCUCCCAUUUGCUUUUGAAAGAAGAGAAAUAUGGCUCUAUUCUGCCCAGCUCACUGGCAGUCAGAGUUUAGGGUUAUCUCUCUUAUUCCCUGAACAAUUGUUGUUAUCCUGUUCUUUUUUCAAGGUGCCCACAUUUCAUAUUGCUCAAACACACACGCUGUACAAUUUGUGCAGUUAAUGCAAUUAUUACAGGGUCCUGAGGCGACAUACAUCCUCCUCAGCUGACAGGAUUAAAAGAUUAAAGCAAAGACAGGCAUAGGAAAUCACUAGGGUAUUGAUUGGGGAAGUGAUAAGUGUCCAUGAAAUCUUUACAAUUUAUGUUUAGAGAUUGCAGUAAAGGCAGGCAUAAGAAAUUAUAAAAGUAUUAGUUUUAUAAAAACUAAUAAAUGUCCAUGAAAUCUUCACAAUCCACGUUCUUCUGCCAUGGCUUCAGCCAGUCCCUCCAUUUUGGGUCCCUGACUUCCCACAACAAAGAGGGAUGGGCAAUGUAAAACUCUGAAUUGGUAUUCUAAUUCUGGGCACAUGACAAUCAGCUAACAACCCCAUACCAGCUUAGUUCCAACAGUUGCCCAGUUCAUGAAAAGCCUUCUAAUUAUGUUUACUUGGAAUAACUUUACUUAUUUUGCUUUACUCUUGGGGAAUAUAUUGCUGUUAUACUCUUUGUAUAGAAAUACAGGACAAGCUUACUGAAUGUUUUCUUAAAUUAAACACAUAUUAAUCUUCCAGAUAUCACCUUUCGUCAAAACUCAAGACUUAUUAAUGGACUUACCACACUGAUGCUUUCUGACUGAGCUCCUCUCUACCCUGAUUGCAAGAGACCCUCAUAGUUAGAGAGGAAUAUCAUCACCCCUAUUCAGCCUGAAGAAGUUACAGAAGAUGGAUCUCCAUCCCUCUGCAACCUUUAGGAAUAAGUGUUCUCUUAUAAAAGGAAGGGGGGAAAUAUCAGAGGCAUGUGAACCAGAGCAACUCCAUCUUAAACAGGAACUGGGUCAAAUGAGGCUAAAACCUACUGGGCUGCAUUCCCAGAUGUUUAAGGCAUACUAAGUCACAGGAUGAGAUAGGAGGUCAGCACAAAAUACAGGUCACAAAGACUUUGCUGAUAAAACAGUUUGCAGUAAAGGAGCCAGCCAAAACCCACCAAAACCAAAAUGACCAUGAGAGUGACCUCUGGUCAUCCUCACUGCUACACUCCCAUCAGCGCCAUAACAGUUUAUAAAUGCCAUGGCAAUGUCAGGAAGUUACCCCAUACCGUUUGAAAAGAGGAGGCAUGAAUAAUCCACCCCCUUGUUUAGCAUAUCAUCAGGAAAUAACCAUGAAAAUGGGCAGCCAGCAGCCCUCAGGGUGGCUCUAUGGAGUAGCCAUUCUUUUAUUCCUUUACUUUUUUCUUUUUUUGAGGUGGAGUCUUGCUCCAUCACCCAGACUGGGGUGCAGUGGCGCGAUCUCGGCUCACUGCAAGCUCCGCCUCCCAGGUUCACGCCAUUCUCCUGCCUCAGCCUCCCGAGUAGCUGGGACUACAGGCACCUGCCACCAUGCCUGGCUAAUUUUUUGUACUUUUAGUAGAUGUGGGAUUUCACCGUGUUAGCCAGGAUGGUCUUGAUCUCCUGACCUCGUGAUCCACCUGCCUUGGCCUCCCAAAGUGCUGGGAUUACAGGCGUGAGCCACCGCGCCCAGCCUCCUUUACUUUCUUAAUCAACUUGCUUUCACUUUGCACUGUGGACUCAUCCCAAAUUCUUUCUUGCUCUAGAUCCAAGAACCCUCUCUUGGGAUCUGGACUGGGGCCCCUUUCCUGUAACACCCGAGAUUGCACAGAAAUCGUCAAAUCAGGUUUAGCCUAAAGCCACGUCUUUACAUAUUUUAAGUUUGGCCUAAAGGUUUUUCUGUACAUCAUGAACUGUAACAGGGGGAGGUGUAAACAGACCAUAGCCUACACUUGUGCCAGUCACUGAGUUUUGGCCAACCAAAUGUAGCCAACUGUUCAAACCAUGUGCAAAUAAGGCAAACACCAAGCUGUAACCCUCCAGCUGUUUCUGUGCCUCACUUCCAUUUUCUGUAAGUCACUUUCUUUUUUCUGUCCAUAAAUCUUCCACCCCAUGGCUGCACUGGAGUCUCUGAGCCUACUCUGACUGGAAGCUUGCUGGAUUCUCAAAUUGUUCAUUGCUCAAUUAAAUUUUAUUUGGCUGAAGUUUUUAUUUUGUCAAUAUUUCAAAGUAAAAUGUUUCUCUAAAAUCAGAGCUAUUUGUAGAAAUACAAAUAAAAAUGGAAAACUUUUUUCUUGUCAGUUUUUGUUAGCUUUUUAUUAAUAAUUUAUUCAAUUUAGCUAAAUUUCCAAUUUUGGGGCAUACAGUUGUAAAAUUUUCUUAUGUUUUAAAUCUC